AUUACCUAUCUAGAUUAAAAUAUCUAAAUAUAGUUACAUUUAAUCUUAACGGUUCUCGUCGCGUAUCGAUUACAAAAACAUCGAAGUACGGGAUCGAAUGACGUGCAAUCGAAACACUGCGGAUAUAAAGAAAAUAAAAAAUUUUGUUAAAUGAUUUAAGGAGAGUAAAGGAAUGCAAAGAAAUCUGGUAGUCAACGACUUCGAAAUUAACGGAAAGAAGAGUGACAAUGACACUAAAACAAUGGAGAUUAAAAUAUGAAAAUACAUACACUUUUCUCUUUGCAUAAUGAUAAUGUAUAAUGAAGUUGCAUAAAUGAGGUCAAAGGCUUAAAAGAGAGAACGUAGUAGCUCCGUUAUUAAAAGGUUUUAUAAAAGGUGAAAAAAAGAGUGUUCGACUUAAUUGGUAAAUCGAAAUAUUUGACUACAUCAAUUCGUAAUUAAGCCGCCAUAUUUAUUUUGAGUAUUGCGACUAAUUGAUAUGCAUUUCAAAAAUGAAUUACAGGUUUUUAACUGCAAUUAAGGAUUCAGGUACAAACUUUAUACAUACGAUGAUGUAAUUAAGCUUAAAAUAAAACACGAUUUUAUUGUUUUUUGUCACAAAGCGUGACGUAAGUCGUGGACGGUUUUUCAAGAGGAAAUGACGUGGAGGGAGAGGAAGUAGUUUUCAAAUUUGAGGCUCCUGGUAAAUGUUCGUUGAAGAAAAUCUACGAGUACGAUCAUAGUCGUGAAGCGUGACCAUUUAAUGCUUUUCUUCCAUAAACUUUGAUGCACAAAGCCCACACCGCGAAGCAAAAGCAAUGAAUAAUUCAACGUGAGUCGAUGGUACCCGGUUCAUAGUAAUUUCUUAUGCUGCCGGCGCCUCUUUUAAUAUAUCGUCCAUGUAUCUGUGUGUUCGUGUGUAUCACGAAUCACGAAUAACAAGUACAGUAAUGGACAUUUGUGGAAGAAGAAGUUACAAUUAUCAUGGGAAGAUAAAUAAUUUUAUAGAAUGAAAUUUUUUAAAUACAU
Molecule: long non-coding RNA, 1008 nt
Organism: Megachile rotundata (alfalfa leafcutting bee)
Lineage: Eukaryota; Metazoa; Arthropoda; Insecta; Hymenoptera; Megachilidae
Source: RefSeq, a predicted model, not a curated record